Molecule: long non-coding RNA, 329 nt
Organism: Macrobrachium nipponense
Lineage: Eukaryota; Metazoa; Arthropoda; Malacostraca; Decapoda; Palaemonidae
Exons: 3
Source: RefSeq, a predicted model, not a curated record
UUCAUUUUUCUCAUUUUCAUGUUGGAAAUUGUUUACACCCUACAUACAUUCGUACACUAACUUACAUAGUGGUACAAUGUGUUUGAUGUUGCAUAACCUUAUUAUUAUUUUUUUUUUUCCAUUUCAGACCCCUUUGAUAGUGACAGUGACCAGAUGACCCUGAGCCUUUCCAUGGUUUUGAUGCCUCGCCCUAUACAUCAGAUGUAGAUGUUCCCUCAUCAGUUGAUACAAGUAUCACCUCCCCAGAGCCCAAAUCAGUUGAUACGAGUAGUAUCACCUCUCCCAUUCCUUCAGACUCCCAAGCACCUGCCCAUCCCACUCCAUAGCCA